AGCAGCCACUCAUUAAAAGAGUGCGUAAUAGCUCACUGGUCGAGUGACUCUGCGCGGAAAAUAUAACGGGGCUAAGCGUAACACCGAAGCUUGGGCUGCACAGCAAUGUGCGGGGUAGGGGAGCGUCGAAUAUGGGGUGAAGUCGCAGCGGAAGCAGCGGUGGACUGUAUUCGAGUGAGAAUGCCGGAAUGAGUAGCGAGAAUUAUGUGGGAAUCAUAAUGGCCGAAAAUCUAAGGUUUCCUGGGGAAGGUUCGUCCGCCCAGGGUAAGCCGGGAGCUAAGGCGAGGCCGAAAGGCGUAGUCGAUGCACAUACGGUUGAAAUUCCGUAGCCACCGAACCUUAAGUACACUGACACAUAGAGAUAGCGGGACCCGGGCGUUGGUUGACCCGGGCGUAAGGGACCGAACUUUAGUAGGGAAGUCCGCGAUGCUCUGUGGCGAGAAAAGGUGUAUGGUAUGCUAAGGUGCCCGUACCGCAAACCGACACAGGUAGAUGAGGAGAGAAUCCUAAGGCCAACGGGAGAAGGGUUGUUAAGGAACUCGGCAAAAUGACCCCGUAACUUCGGGAUAAGGGGAGCCUCCUACGGGAGGCCGCAGCGAAUAGGCCCAAGCGACUGUUUACCAAAAACACAGGUCUCUGCUAAAUCGAAAGAUGACGUAUAGGGGCUGACGCCUGCCCGGUGCUGGAAGGUUAAGAGGAGAUGUUAGCCGCAAGGCGAAGCAUUGAAUCGAAGCCCCAGUAAACGGCGGCCGUAACUAUAACGGUCCUAAGGUAGCGAAAUUCCUUGUCAGGUAAGUUCUGACCCGCACGAAUGGCGUAACGACUUGGGCGCUGUCUCAACAGCCCACCCGGCGAAAUUGUUGUACUGGUGAAGAAGCCAGUUACCCGCAACUAGACGGAAAGACCCCAUGGAGCUUUACUGUAGCUUAAUACUGGAAAUCGGUAAAUCAUGUACAGGAUAGGUGGGAGACUUGGAAGCCAGGGCGUCAGCUUUGGUGGAGUCACCCUUGGGAUACCACCCUUGAUUUGCUGGUUUUCUAACCUGCGGCCGUGAAUCCGGUCGGGGGACACUGUUAGGUGGGCAGUUUGACUGGGGCGGUCGCCUCCUAAAAGGUAACGGAGGCGCUCAAAGGUUCGUUCAGCACGGACGGAAACCGUGCAGUGAGUGUAAACGCAUAAACGAGCCUAACUGCGAGACCGACGGGUCGAGCAGUAACGAAAGUUGGAGUUAGUGAUCCGGCGGUAUGCAAGUGGAAGUGCCGUCGCUCAACGGAUAAAAGCUACCCUGGGGAUAACAGGCUGAUCUCCCCCAAGCGUCCACAGCGACGGGGAGGUUUGGCACCUCGAUGUCGGCUCGUCACAUCCUGGGGCUGUAUUCGGUCCCAAGGGUUCGGCUGUUCGCCGAUUAAAGUGGCACGCGAGCUGGGUUCAGAACGUCGUGAGACAGUUCGGUCCCUAUCUGUUGCGGGCGUAAGAGAUUUGAAGGGAGCUGUCCUUAGUACGAGAGGACCGGGAUGGACGUACCUCUGGUGCACCAGUUGUCCUGCCAAGGGCAUAGCUGGGUAGCUAUGUACGGACGAGAUAAACGCUGAAGGCAUCUAAGCGUGAAACUCCCCCUAAGAUUAGAUCUCUCAUUCGAAAGAAGUAAGGCACGACGUAGACUAUGUCGUUGAUAGGCCGGAGGUGGAAGCACGGUAACGUGUGCAGCUGACCGGUACUAAUAAGCCGAGGGCUUGACCUU
RNAcentral lists this ribosomal RNA (1741 nucleotides) under human gut metagenome. RNAcentral describes it as "bacterial LSU rRNA". It matches the Rfam family "Bacterial large subunit ribosomal RNA", at positions 1111 to 2925 of the family's 2925-position model. The record is from RNAcentral.